GUGUGUGUGUGUGUGUGUGUAUUUAGCAGUCUGUGUGUGUAUUCAGCAGACUGUGUACUCAGCAGUCUGCUAACAGACAGACUGCUAAGUACACAGACAGACUGCUAAAUACACAGACAGACUG
Pelobates cultripes (western spadefoot toad) is the source of this 124-nucleotide non-coding RNA. The record is from the annotation of a GenBank genome assembly. Lineage: Eukaryota; Metazoa; Chordata; Amphibia; Anura; Pelobatidae.